ACAAAACAUGUUUUCAUGUUCAACAAAAUACACAACCAAGUUCAAAUAUAAUACAACCAAGUUCAAACACAAUACAGCCAACACAUGUUUUCACGUUCUUUCAAGUUCUAGUAGGAGGGAAAGUAAGAGAGCCUAUUCAUUUGCAGAGGCAUCAUUGGACUUAGAGUUGAGGAAAGCAAUGAAAUUCGGGUCAGUUGCGCUCAAGUACUCCUUAACCAGCUUCAAGUGCUUGAUCUCUGCUUAUUGCUCAGCUACAACCUGUGAAGCCUCUACUGCAACCCGUGAAGCCUCUGCUUCACGCUCUUCUUGAAUAGCUGCUUGUUCCUCUAUCUUCGAGUAGCUUCCUCAAGAUGUUACUGCAGGCUACUACAAGAAAACAUGUGAUUAACGAGUGCAAAAACAGUCACUAUUCCGUCAUUAAGUACCUUGGAACGACUGUUUAGCGACUAAAUAAAGUAGUCGCCAAACCAAGCGUCGCUAAAUUAUUUGGUCACAAUACAGUCAUUAUGUAGCAACUGUAUUGCGACAUAUUUUAUUGGUCACUGUGACGUCGCAACUCAGGGAUUAGCGACUACAAAAACAGUCACUAGUUAGUCGCUAAGUAACAUAGUAUGACUGUUUAGCGACUAAAAAACGUAGUCGCCAAACUAUGCGUCCCUAAUAACUGGGUCGCACAACAGUCGCUAAAUAGCGACUGUCGUGCGACAUAUUUUAUUGGUCACUAAUAGGUAGCAUAUCAAUCGCUACAUUUGCCACUGACGUGCGACUAUUAUGCGUCUGUUUUGCUACUGUAAAAUUGAACUGUUUUUACGACAGAAUUGGUUUGAAAUCUCGAUUUAGGAUGCUUUUAAAUUUGAUUUUGUAAUUACGAAUUGUUUGUAAAACACAAAAAAAACAUGUAUUUAGAAUAUUCUUGUUCAACACAAAAACAAAACAUGUUUUCAUGUUCAACGAAAUACACAACUAAAUUCAAACAUAAUACAACCAAGUUCAAACACAAUACAGCCAAUACUUGUUUUCACGUUCUUUCAAGUUCUAGUAGGAGGGAAAGUAAGAGAACCUAUUCAUUUGCAUAGGCAUCAUUCGACUUAGAGUUGAGGAAAGCAAUGAAAUUGGGGUCAGUUGCGCUCAACUACUUCUUGACCAUCUUCAAGUGCUUGAUCUCAGCUUGUUGCUCAGCUUUAACCUAUGAAGCCUCUACUGCAACCCGUGAAGCCUCUGCUUUACGCUCUCUGCUUGAAUAGCUGCUUGUUCCUCUAUCUUCCGAGUAGCUUCCUCAAGCUGUUGAUGCAGGCUACUACAAGAAAACAUGUGAUUAACGACUGCAAAAACAGUCACUAUUCCAUUAUUAAGUACUUUGGAACGACUGUUUAGCGACUAAAUAACGUAGUCGUCAAACCCUGCGUUGCUAAAUAUUAUGGUCGCAAUACAGUAACUAUGUAGCGACUGUAUUGCGACAUAUUUUAUUGGUCACUAUGACGGCGCAACUCAAGGAUUAACGACUACAAAAACAGUCACUAG
RNAcentral lists this long non-coding RNA (1521 nucleotides) under Capsella rubella. RNAcentral describes it as "long non-coding RNA (CRUB_LNC002210)". Lineage: Eukaryota; Viridiplantae; Streptophyta; Magnoliopsida; Brassicales; Brassicaceae. The record is from RNAcentral.